GACGAACGCUGGCGGCGUGCCUAAUACAUGCAAGUCGAACGCAUUUUCUUUCACCGUAUCUUGCUACACCGAAAGAAAAUGAGUGGCGAACGGGUGAGUAACACGUCGGUAACCUGCCCAUCAGCGGGGGAUAACACUUGGAAACAGGUGCUAAUACCGCAUAAUUCCAUUUACCGCAUGGUAAAUGGAUGAACGGCGCUUUUGCGUCACUGAUGGAUGGACCCGCGGUGCAUUAGCUAGUUGGUGGGGUAACGGCCUACCAAGGCUGCGAUGCAUAGCCGGACUGAGAGGGGGGGCGGCCCCACUGGGAAUGGGACACGGGCCCAACACCUAGAGGGGGGGGCAGUAGGGAAACUUCGGGAAUAGGCGCAAAACUGACCGGAAAACGCCGCGGGAUUGGAGAAGGGUUUCGGGUCGUAAAAAUCUGUUGUUAGGGGAAAAAAAGGGUGGGGGUGGAAAGUUCAUUCCUUGACGGUAACUAACCAAAAAGGCACGGCUAACUACGUG
RNAcentral lists this ribosomal RNA (507 nucleotides) under uncultured bacterium. RNAcentral's name for it is "partial 16S ribosomal RNA". It matches the Rfam family "Bacterial small subunit ribosomal RNA", at positions 28 to 507 of the family's 1533-position model. The record is from RNAcentral.